GCCGAUAUAGCUCAGUUGGUAGAGCAAUGUAUUCGUAAUACAGUGGUCAAGGGUUCAAUUCCCUUUAUCGGCA
RNAcentral lists this transfer RNA (73 nucleotides) under Rickettsia sp. It matches the Rfam family "tRNA". From Rfam's summary of the family: Transfer RNA (tRNA) molecules are approximately 80 nucleotides in length. Their secondary structure includes four short double-helical elements and three loops (D, anti-codon, and T loops). The record is from Rfam by way of RNAcentral. Lineage: Bacteria; Pseudomonadati; Pseudomonadota; Alphaproteobacteria; Rickettsiales; Rickettsiaceae.